GGCGCAUACCGCGGGAGCCCGCAGCAGCCAUGUCGCCGCUGCCCGGCUGAGAGGGCGUCAGAGCCGACCGCUUGACCUGAUCCGGCUAGUACCGGCGUAGGGAAGGAAUUCUUCAUGGGCA
This 121-nucleotide non-coding RNA is filed under the name Arthrobacter sp. RNAcentral's name for it is "TPP sequence". It matches the Rfam family "TPP riboswitch aptamer (THI element)". From Rfam's summary of the family: Vitamin B(1) in its active form thiamin pyrophosphate (TPP) is an essential coenzyme that is synthesised by coupling of pyrimidine and thiazole moieties in bacteria. The previously detected thiamin-regulatory element, thi box was extended, resulting in a new, highly conserved RNA secondary structure, the THI element, which is widely distributed in eubacteria and also occurs in some archaea. Analysis of operon structures identified a large number of new candidate thiamin-regulated genes, mostly transporters, in various prokaryotic organisms. Lineage: Bacteria; Bacillati; Actinomycetota; Actinomycetes; Micrococcales; Micrococcaceae. The record is from RNAcentral.